UGGGGAAUUUUGGACAAUGGGCGAAAGCCUGAUCCAGCAAUGCCGCGUGUGUGAAGAAGGCCUUCGGGUUGUAAAGCACUUUUGUCCGGAAAGAAAUCCUUGGCUCUAAUACAGUCGGGGGAUGACGGUACCGGAAGAAUAAGCACCGGCUAACUACGUGCCAGCAGCCGCGGUAAUACGUAGGGUGCAAGCGUUAAUCGGAAUUACUGGGCGUAAAGCGUGCGCAGGCGGUUUGCUAAGACCGAUGUGAAAUCCCCGGGCUCAACCUGGGAACUGCAUUGGUGACUGGCAGGCUAGAGUAUGGCAGAGGGGGGUAGAAUUCCACGUGUAGCAGUGAAAUGCGUAGAGAUGUGGAGGAAUACCGAUGGCGAAGGCAGCCCCCUGGGCCAAUACUGACGCUCAUGCACGAAAGCGUGGGGAGCAAACAGGAUUAGAUACCCUGGUAGUCCACGCCCUAAACGAUGUCAACUAGUUGUGGGGAUUCAUUCCUUAGUAACGUAGCUAACGCGUGAAGUUGACCGCCUGGGGAGUACGGUCGCAAGAUUAAAACUUAAAGGAAUUGACGGGGUCAUAGCUGUUUCCU
Molecule: ribosomal RNA, 583 nt
Filed under: uncultured bacterium
Lineage: Bacteria
Description: partial 16S ribosomal RNA
Rfam family: Bacterial small subunit ribosomal RNA
Source: RNAcentral